CCCGAGCAACCACCGCCACCCUCAACCACACUGUCGUCAUCGCCACCAUAACUCCCCUCACAACUAUCCGCACUACCAGUGGAAGCACCCUCCACCGAAAAAAUCAAGAAAUUGCCACAGUUAACCAAAUAACCCGCAAAGUCUAGUUAACCCACGCUCCCUCACCCAUCAAAACCAGAACACAAAAAUAAUGGCACAGAAAUAUCGAACCCAGCACUACCUCUCAAUUUCACAUAAAUUUCCUCUAUUAUCUUCGCCCAUUCCCCGCUCAAUUUCACAAAAAAACCCGAACCCAGCACCAUCGUCCAUUUCCCAUUUUCUCUGCACAACAAGAAGCUUCUUAAUUAACAACCAAAUUCAUCGAACACGGUGUAUUUUCCGAAGACGCUGCAAAAUGGGACUGGAGUAAUCACUACGAAAUCCAGUUGCUGCUGUAUUUCUUGAAUUCGGCCACUGGUUUCUAUUCGGUUCUCGAUUUCUGUUCGGUUGUUGUCCAACUGUUCUAAUUUAGUACAAAAAGUUUUUGUUCAGUUUCAUUAGGGUUCAGUAAGUUAGGCAGGUGAUGAUUGCUGUAACUAUAGCUGCGUCGAUGAUGGUGGAAGAUGGUGGCGAAGAUGAAUGAAGGAUUUGGGAGAG
This 636-nucleotide long non-coding RNA is filed under the name Olea europaea subsp. europaea. Lineage: Eukaryota; Viridiplantae; Streptophyta; Magnoliopsida; Lamiales; Oleaceae. The record is from RNAcentral.